This 569-nucleotide long non-coding RNA is filed under the name Cyanistes caeruleus (blue tit). RNAcentral describes it as "lncRNA (ENSCCEG00000014464.1)". Lineage: Eukaryota; Metazoa; Chordata; Aves; Passeriformes; Paridae. The record is from RNAcentral.
UUCUCUUGCAGAUUUCAGAAACUCCAGAAGAGGAAAUGGAAGCUAAAUGAGGCAGGUAUCUCUUCUUUACCAUAAGAAGUUAGAUAUGGCUGACAACAUAGAAAAGCAUUUCAUAAAGAAAGUGGUAGCCACCAUCUUCCUACAGAAACCUGGACUGACUUUCAGUGUGCUGUAUCUGAAGGAGAAAAGGCAGUUUGUGAAAUGUCACACACAAUACAGCUGAGGAAAACACUCAAGAAAGAACUUCAGUGCAGAAUCAUAAUCAGGUGCCUGUUUUCAAGCACUUCAAAGCCUUUUCCAAAAUCAGUGAAAAUAUUCCGGCUCAUUGGAAGAGAAUUGCAACAAAGCCCUACAAUGGAAAGAAACAGAGGAAUUCAAGGUAAGCUCUCAUGGCAGAGGUUCAAAUUAGAUUCUGGACAUGAAACAUCGAAACAUCGUGUCUGGAAGCAUUCCUAGUAUGCUGAAACACCUGGUGUUUUAUGCCCAGAUAUAUUAACUAUAUUGCAAAAAAAUUCAAGGCCAUGUUGUCAGGGUGUUGAAAGUCUUUGGAUAGAGAAAAGGAACUCCAU